GAGCGCAACUGAGGGAGCUUGCUCCCAAAGGUUAGCGGCGGACGGGUGAGUACACGUGGGUAACCUGCCUGUAAGACCGGGAUAACUUCGGGAAACCGGAGCUAAUACCGGAUCAUUCUUUUUCUCACAUGAGGGAAAGCUGAAAGACGGCGCAAGCUGUCACUUACAGAUGGGCCCGCGGCGCAUUAGCUAGUUGGUGAGGUAACGGCUCACCAAGGCGACGAUGCGUAGCCGACCUGAGAGGGUGAUCGGCCACAUUGGGACUGAGACACGGCCCAAACUCCUACGGGAGGCAGCAGUAGGGAAUCUUCCGCAAUGGACGAAAGUCUGACGGAGCAACGCCGCGUGAGUGAUGAAGGUCUUCGGAUCGUAAAACUCUGUUGUUAGGGAAGAACAAGUAUCGGAGUAACUGCCGGUACCUUGACGGUACCUAACCAGAAAGCCACGGCUAACUACGUGCCAGCAGCCGCGGUAAU
Molecule: ribosomal RNA, 476 nt
Filed under: uncultured bacterium
Lineage: Bacteria
Description: bacterial SSU rRNA
Rfam family: Bacterial small subunit ribosomal RNA
Source: RNAcentral